RNAcentral lists this ribosomal RNA (279 nucleotides) under uncultured bacterium. RNAcentral describes it as "partial 16S ribosomal RNA". It matches the Rfam family "Bacterial small subunit ribosomal RNA", at positions 506 to 784 of the family's 1533-position model. The record is from RNAcentral.
UGCCAGCCGCCGCGGUAAUACGAAGGGGGCUAGCGUUGUUCGGAAUCAUUGGGUUUAAAGGGUCCGUAGGCGGGAAUCUAAGUCAGUGGUGAAAUCUUGCAGCUCAACUGUAAAAUUGCCAUUGAUACUGGAUUUCUUGAAUUAGUGUGAAGUGGUUAGAAUGUGUAGUGUAGCGGUGAAAUGCAUAGAUAUUACACAGAAUACCGAUUGCGAAGGCAGAUUACUAACAAUAUACUGACGCUGAGGGACGAAAGCGUGGGUAGCGAACAGGAUUAGAUA